RNAcentral lists this ribosomal RNA (200 nucleotides) under uncultured bacterium. Its description in RNAcentral is "partial 16S ribosomal RNA". It matches the Rfam family "Bacterial small subunit ribosomal RNA", at positions 28 to 221 of the family's 1533-position model. The record is from RNAcentral.
GAUGAACGCUAGCGGCAGGCUUAAUACAUGCAAGUCGAGGGGCAGCAUGGUUGUAGCAAUACAACUGAUGGCGACCGGCAAACGGGUGCGGAACACGUACGCAAUCUACCCAAAACUGAUGAAUAGCCCUCCGAAAGGAGGAUUAAUACAUCGUAACUUAAUGAAGUGGCAUCACUUUAUUAAUAUAGCUCCGGCGGUUU